CCCGGUGAUUUUUAUUAAACGGCCGCGGUNUCUUGACCGUGCAAAGGUAGCAUAAUCAAUUGUUUUAUAAUUGAAGACUGGAAUGAAUGGUUGAAUGAAAUAUUAGCUGUCUUGUUUAUAUUUAUUAGAAUUUAGCUUUUAAAUGAAGAGAUUUAGAUGUGAUUGAUAGACAAGAAGACCCUGUUGAGCUUUAAAUGAUUUUAAAGAUAUAUAUUAUUAUAUAAAAUAAAUAGAUUUUAUUUUUUUUUUGGUUGGGGCGACUGAGGAACAGAUGAAGCUUCCUUGAUUUAAGAAAAUUGUUUGAUUUUGAUCCAAUAUAGUUGAUUAAAAGAAAUAGUUACCACAGGGAUAACAGCAUAAUCUUCUUUGAGAGUUCAUAUCGAAAAGAGGGGUUGUGACCUCGAUGUUGGACUAAAAUAUCCUAUAAAUGUAGCUGUUUAUGAGGC
This 446-nucleotide ribosomal RNA is filed under the name Bellamya unicolor. RNAcentral describes it as "partial large subunit ribosomal RNA". It matches the Rfam family "Bacterial large subunit ribosomal RNA", at positions 1862 to 2571 of the family's 2925-position model. Lineage: Eukaryota; Metazoa; Mollusca; Gastropoda; Architaenioglossa; Viviparidae. The record is from RNAcentral.